Cyprinus carpio carpio is the source of this 5876-nucleotide long non-coding RNA. Lineage: Eukaryota; Metazoa; Chordata; Actinopteri; Cypriniformes; Cyprinidae. The record is from Ensembl.
GUGAUUGAUCAAAAUAGAGAAUAAUUUCUGAUUUACCAUACAUGUUGCAUUUUUCAUUUAAUAUGGAACCCUGCUCAAACUUUCUUCUCAAACUUGCUGCAGCUACUUCAAAUUAACCACAAUCAUAUCCUGUGCAUAUAAGAGAAGAACAAAAACAUCAUGGUUUUUCCAUUUAUCGCACCUGUACAAAACCGGACGUUUUCAUAGAUCUAAACAGACUGCAGAAUCUAAAAGCCAUUAUUAUAAAGUGAUAUUACACUUACCAAAAUGCCAAAGUUUUGGAGGAAAAUAAAAACAGCCAGGAAUAAAUAUGAGUGGUAUCCUCUGGUGAAAGACAUGCAAGCCUCCAAUGGAGAACAGGAAAGCACAGUCGACUCUGCGAUGCCAUCUGGAUCAGGUAUCGAAGUGAGUGGCGAGACAGGGCUUAAUAUUCUCAGAACAAUUCUGAGUAAACAAUCAAACCUUGAGGACGCAGACAUUGCAGCUGCAAUGCCGAAAAUCAGCUUCUCUCAAGAAUGGCACCAAAGUACUUUCAAGAAAUAGAUCAGUUUGUGGAGAACCACUUACCCUCGCUGCCACCAGAGGGAUCUCAAGUAAAGCAGAUGCAGGACUUUCUAAAGAGCGCACAGAGUAUUAUAUGCAAUGAGGUGCGCAGAUUAACACCUUUACUGAAAAAUGCUGGACUGCUAGUUCAUCUGAAGGACAGUUACAGCCGUCACCUCUUUACCAACCUGGACCUGCUACUAAACAGAGAUCUGUCUGUAAAACAGAUCUUCUGCCUUAUUAUGUGGGAAAAAGAUGUUUUCUUCAGUCCAGACUCAAAACUGAGUGUGUACGACCCUUCGCUGCUGACAGGAAGGUUUGAGAGAGCAAAGCAGAAACUGCUUCAAGUACUUCAGGUAGGACUUUAUGGUAUCCACCUUGUUUUUUAACAGCAUGGCCACUUAAAUGUGCGAGGCUUCCGCUGUCAUCCACUUCUAGUUAUUUUAGCUGUACAAAAUCAGUCUGUUCUGGUGCUUGAUAUUGCAAACUGCUAUUUGUUAUGGUGUAAUUUAAAUGUAUUAUCGUAAUAAUAAAUACACUGGUUUGUAGUGCAAAUAGUUUUACAAUUUCUGCACUUUACACUUAAAAAAAUGCUGGGUCAAAACAACCCAGUGCUGGGUGAAAUAUGGACAAGCCCAGCAAUUUGGUUGUUUUGACCCAGCAGUUUGGUUAAAUGUUUAACCCAACCUUCUGGGUAGUAACCCAACCGCUGGGUCAAAACAAUCCAGUUGCUGGGUUUGUCCAAUUUUACCCAGCACUGGGUUGCAUUUAACCCAGCAUUUUUUAGAGUAUAUACAAUAGCAAUUAAUGAAACGGAAGUCUUGUACAUUCACAGAAAAGAUUGCGUUGCAAAAAAAAGGUGGGUAUGACUUUCUGUUAUUUGAAUUCUUUGACUCUCAUUACUGACUAAUGCAUGAAAGGACCCAAAACAUGCACAUGAGGUGUAACACACUUGUAUCUCUGCCCAACUUAAACUGCCAAAGGAUGACAUCUCCAAGACUCUACAGAACAUCCUACACUAUGAUGAGAAACAUGGACAUAAUGAGGACUCAAUGGAUGAAGAAACUUUCAUCAGAGUUCACUUAGAUGUCACUCAGUGCCUGAACUAUGCUAUUUUUGAUGCUAAAAAAGUUGGUCUGACUUUGAUGCAUGCAGUACAAAUACUCUGUAGUGGAGAGCUGCAUGGUUUUGUUCAGAAGUAGGAUUCUCCUCAUAUUAUUAUCUAGUAUCCUUAUAUUCAUUUAAGUGUAUGGUUGCUGGAGAGGGAAGGUUUGUAAUCCUGUACUUAAUAUAAAUAUGUUUUCUUAGGUAUGUGGAUGCUAAGAACAAACGUCUAUAAAAAACAAACGUUUACAGAGACAAACUCUGUGUAUCUGUUUCGGAUAAUCAACACCUGCAUGCAACUCAGGUAUUUAUUAAUGAUGAUUAAGUAAUGAACUAAUACAUGGCUGUUACAGAAACUGUAUCAGUGUAUAAUUAAAUCUGGACUAAUUGAAGAAUAAGACAUAUUUGUCACCCUUGAUUUAUUCAAGUGGCAGUAUAAUUGUGGAGAUAUUAAGAUGACUAAUAUUUGGCUGUCAUAUUUGACUAAAACAGUGGUUGCCUUUUUUCCAGGGCACCCUUAUUUUAACAGUCAACCUUUUUGAAUCAAUGAAUCAGUGACAUUAACAAUGAUGGCAGAAGAUUUUUAAAUGAAAAAAUAACGUUGGUUGAGUGAGUUUAACGAAAUUUCAACCAAGGGGGGCCUUUAAUUGGUCCGUGCCCAGGGCACCGCUGUGUCAUAAUCCGUCCCUGACUUACCGUCUGGAAUUUCAUCAUGGUUUGCUGCAACUGUUUCUAUUUAUAACCCUCAAACUGGAACGAGCUCAGCGACUCCUAGUGGUGUCACGACCCGGGGUUGGGAACCACUGGGGAAAAUCCUUGUGUAGAAUAAAACAGCUUUUCUAGGUCACUGUUAUAACUAGAGUCACUAUACGGUGAGUGUAUUAUUUUAAAAAUAUUUGUGCUAAGUUGUCCUUUUCCUAUCUGGAAUGAAAAUAUUUUACCUGUAGAUGUUGUGCUACACAAAUCAGUCCAAAUACAAACAGCAGAGAUGUCUCCUCAAGCACUAUAUGCAUGCUACAGAAACUGGAAGACAAUGCUUCAUCCAUUGUACGAAAGCUCAUGAAAUGCUUAGCACAGGUAGGCUAUGUUUUGAUUUCUUCAACAUCUGUGUUUAUGAUAAUCACUGAAAAAAAUGAUUCAUUGAAUUUACUAAAUUUUUUUAUGGUAAGUGGUUGCAGUCAAUUUAUUUUAUCUAUAUUUAAAUAAAUUUAGCUGAUUAACUUUCAGCAAAAAAAAAAUUAUUUAAAUGUAGCUAAAAUAAAUUGAUUGCAACCACUUACCAUAAAUUUUUUUUGUAAAUUCAAUUAAUCAUUUUUUUCAGUGAUGUGUUCAGAGGACAAGACCACAGUUGUGCAAGUGAAAUUAAGUAUUUGAGUCCACAGAAUUGUGAAAUCAAUACAAUCUUACUAGGAUUAUUUUAGCUGCAUCCAUUCAUAUCAGACUGUCUCUCUGGGCUACUGAUCUAAACAACAAGAAUACUGUAACCUUUCCUAACACAUUUAAUAUCAAACUUACAGUCCUGUUUCUCUUUGAAUGUUCAUUUGUAGGCCAAUUUAGAAGGUUAUUUUGAGAAAAGAGAUGGGCAUAUUGAUAUCCUGAUGGAGGCAAUCCAAAGGCAGUGUGCAUCUCUGCCUGAGACUGCUUCAGAGAUCAAAACGGUCAUUGUGAAAAUAGCUUACGACAGUGUUUCCAAAGUGUACCUGGAAUGCUUGAUGAAGACAAAUGUCAGAAAGCUAGAGAUGCUUUGGGGAAAUGCUGAGGAAAAGAUAAAAGAGGAUGUUCAACAUUUUCACCAAAUAUUCUCUGACCUGAAUGGCAUUGCUGCCCAGGAGAGCUCCUUCAGAGAAUGAGUGUUUUGCUUUACAGUCAUGUAAAAACGAAGGACGUUACCAAUGCUUUGUUCAAAGACUUCCCUCAGGAGAGUGAGCAGUAUGUACCUGGUCUGCUGCGCUGGAAGGGUGUGUUAUCAGAGCAACAGGUGAAGGAAGUGCUGGAUGAGAUUCGGGAACCCUGCCAAAAUCCAGAUCCUACACAUGUCACCUGUUUUCUUCUGAAGGGACUUUUUUGUUGUAAAUAGCUUGAGGUCAGAGCUUUCAAAAAGCCUUUAUGAUCCAAAGCCAUGGAUUCAGUGAGGUAUGAGGAAAGUACCAAGCAACCAACAUAAGCUGCAACCCCAUUGGCUGGAAUGUUCAUUUAUGAGGGAAACUCCCAUAAAUGCACCUGCUGUGAGCACUGCAAUCUCACCAUUUACUCUCAUGUAUUCUGCGGGACAAGCAAGCUUUUUAUUUGUGUGAAGUUCAAACAAACAAAAAUGCUAAGCGUGUUGAGGCGGAAAAAAAAGAAUGGGAAUGAAGAGACCCCUUUAAUGAAAAACAUAGAGCAGACAGAUGGGGAACAGACAUCUGAAUACAGUUCACAGCAGUCCGGAGUUCCUGAUCUCAUCGCUCUAGAUGUUGAAGCGAGUAACAAGAGAGUGCUUAAUAUUCUCAGAAUGAUUCUGAGUGACCAAUCAACCCCUGAGGACUUUGACACUGCAGCUGAGGUGCUGAAAACAUGGAGCAAACUGAACAACAGCUUCUCUCAAGACUGGCUUUGUGAGUACCUUCAGGAAAUAGAUCAGUUUGUUGAGAAAAACUUUCCCUCGCUGCCAGCAGAGGGACCACAAGGAUCUCAGUUAGAGCAGAUGCAAGAAUUUCUAAACAGUGCACAGAGUGUUAUAUAUGAUGAGGUGUGUCGAUUAACACCUUUACUGAAAGAUGCUGGACUGCUAGUUCAUCUGAUGGACAGUUACAGCCAUCACCUCUUUACCAACCUGGACCUGCUCCUAAACAGAGAUCUUUCAGCGAAUGAAAUUUUCUGCCUUCUAAUGUGGGGAAAAAAUGUUUUCUUCAGUCCAGACUCACAGCAUUUCUUCAGAGUGUACGACCCUCUGCUGUUGACAGGUUGGUUUGAGAGAGCAACAAGGAAGCUGCUGCCAAAACUGGAGGAUGACAUCUCCACGACUCUACAGAACAUCCGACACUAUGAUGAGGAACAUGGACAUAAUGAGGACUCAAUGGAUGAAGAAACUUUCAUCAGAGUUCACUUAGAUGUCACCCAGAAUUUAGUAACACCCUGAUGUGUACAGCACAGACGCUCUGCCUUAAAGAGCUUCAUCAUUUUGUUCAGGAGUAUGCACAUGCACAGAAAAAAUGUCUGGGAAAACAGAAACCCCUGAACUCAAAAUAUGUGCAUCUGUUUCGGCUCAUCAGCACCAGUAGGCAACUCAGAUUUUUUGCUGAUCGACUCAACAAUCCGGAUAUUAACAACAGUAACGACCUCUCAAACAUCAUCUGCAUGUUAGAGGAGCUGGAAGAUCACGUUCUGUCAAUUGUACAGAAGAUGAUGAAACACUUAGCGCAGGGCUAUUUGAGAAAAUAUUUCAAAAAAGAAGGUGAGCAAAUUCAAAUGCUGACAGAGGGCAUUCAAAAGCGGUGUGCAUCUCUGCCUCAGGCUCAUGUGGGAAAAGAGAUUCAGGAGAUCUUUGUAAAUGUAGCCUAUGACUGCAUUUCACACGUAUAUCUGGAUUGCCUGAUGAAGAGCAAGUUCAAGCGGCUAGAGAAGAGAUGGGGAAAUGUCGGAGAAAGGAUGAGAGAGGAUGCUCUCAGUUUUCACAACACAUUUACUGAACUGAAUGGCAGUGAUGACCAGAGGUACCAUCUCCUUCAGAGAAUGAGUGAAGUUUUGCUCUGCAGUGAUGUAGAUGCACUGAAGAUUACCUGUUGUGAUUUGUUCAGGGAUUUCCCUCAAGACAGUGAGCAGUAUGUACCUGGUCUGCUGCGCUGGAAAGGUGUGUUAUCAGAGCGACAGGUGAAGGAAGUGCUGACUGUGAGCCGGGAUCUCGUUCUGGAUCUAAAGCCUAGACGUGUCACAUGUCAGCGUCUGAAGGGGCUUUGCUGUUGUCUUUGAUAUGAAUAGCAACAUCAGCCAGAUUUGUGAAACCUCUGUUUACAAGUUUAAAUUGAUGACAUGACUUUUGUGAACAUUAGUGAACAUUAGUUGUUUAUACAGGUACAUUUAUAUUUUAAUCAGAUACAAUAUUUUUGUACCUUUUAACCUUUUGAUUUUACUUGAAAAUAGGAAAUCAUGUUUCUAUCUGACCACCGGGAAAAAAAUGAAAUUACCCUUUUUGGUAUGUCUUUUCUAUGAUAGUAUAAUUAAUUAAGUUUAAAAAAUUAAGUAAAAUUUAA